UAUUUCACUUCGGCCACAACGGAGCUGCAGAACCGACGCGUCGGAAUCAUGGCCGACCCACUUCUCGUCCCCUUCUUCCCAACUCCAUUAUCCUUCCCCGCCUACUCCUUUACUUUCCUUAUUAGGAGAAGCUAAACUUCCCCCCUGACUCUGACCCUUUCUUUCCUUUCUUGAUUCAAUCGAUCGAUUGCCUGUCUUUGCUUCCUUGAUGCUUCUGAGAGAUGGCGUCCGUCCGUCGAACUCUCACGGCGGCCAACAACAUCGACGACGAUCGAUCCUUACACACUCACGCCCUCCCUUAUCGUAACACCGGCCGCCAUCACCCCCUCGCUUCUUCUUCCUCCUCCUCCUCUUCUUCGUCUUCUCCUUCCUACUCUUUCCUCGCGGUGCGCCGGAUCUUCGCCGGCGGAUUCCUCCGGAAGUCCUCCCGUGGCAAGCUGCCGGCGCCGCCGCCGCAGCGCCACCAUCCGUGGAAGAGGAACCUCUUUCGCUUGUUCGUCUUCUUCCUCCUCGGCUUCCUGUUCGGACUUUACCCGUUCGUCGAGCUUGAUGACUUUGGCUUGCGGCCCCACCACUUCUUCGAUUCCUCCUCCGCUUCCAUUAUCAGUAGCAACAACCUUCCGCGCCGUGAUCUCGCCGCGGUCGUCCGCUCUGGACCCAGCGAGAUCGAGCUCGUGCGAUCCGACGACGGCAACCGGCACUCGGAAGCGGAGCCCCCGCCGAAUGAUCACCCGGAGCCCACGCCCAAGAGGAAGCUGCUGAUCGUCGUGACCCCCACGUACAACCGCGCCUUCCAGAGCUACUACUUGACCCGGCUGGGCCAGACGCUGCGGCUCGUGCCGCCGCCCCUCCUCUGGAUCGUGGUGGAGAUGAACUCUGCCUCUAUGGAGACGGCGGAGAUUCUCAUGGGCACCGGCGCCAUGUACAGGCAUCUCGUUUGCAAGAAGAACUCGACUAACAUCAAGGACAGAGGCGUCCUCCAGCGGAACACCGCGCUCGAGCACAUCGAGCGGCAUCGUCUGGAUGGGAUCGUGUACUUUGCCGACGACGACAACAUCUACUCACUCGAGUUGUUCGAGCGAUUGAGAGAGAUCAGGAGAUUUGGUGUUUGGCCUGUUGCAAUGCUUUCUCAAGGCAAAAAUAAGGCGAUACUAGAAGGCCCAGUUUGCAAUGGAAGCCAAGUAAUUGGAUGGCACACUAAUGAGAAAAGCAAGAGACUUAGGAGAUUUCAUGUUGAUAUGUCUGGAUUUGCAUUCAAUAGCACCAUACUUUGGGACCACAAGAGAUGGCAUCGUCCAAACUCAGAUGCCAUUAGGCAACUAGACACGGUGAAAGAAGGUUUUCAGGAGACCACAUUCAUAGAGCAGAUAGUAGAGGAUGAAAGUCAAAUGGAAGGCUUACCAAAUGAUUGCCCGAGAAUCAUGAAUUGGCACCUCCAUUUAGAAGCUAAAGAUCUUGUUUACCCUAAAGGGUGGCAAGUGUCAAGAAACCUUGAUGCUAUUAUUCGUUUAACAUAGAACAUGCAGCUUUCACAAGAUCGAAGUUUACAUGCUGGGACAUUCAACCAUGUUUGUCACUAGUAGAGAGUGGUGUAAUGCAUGUCCUAUCAUGGAUCAUGCCACUAAGCUACCCUUGGCAUCGCCUACACUGAUAAAGCAGAUAAGCAAUUGGCGAGGACGUAUACAGACCCGGUGAUCCAUAUCAGAGAUUUACAUGAGGGAAGGAGAUUUAAUUGUAUUGAAAAGGAAGCAAUAUUGAAGCAUACAUCGAAGGAAAGUUACAAGUUGGGUGAUGUUAUGAAUUUGUUUAGUCACUUUUAGUGCCCUAGCUGCAAAUGUCUGGAUAAGUAUGAUAAUCUGAAUGAAAAAAAAUUAAAUACUUGGAUUAAAACGUUACUUUAUUAAUUGGUGUAAGUUGCUCGUUUAGGAGGCCAGGUGACACCAGGCCUACUGACCCUGCUGCCCGAGUUGUAUAGGCUUGAUAAUGGACUAUGAUUAAGGCACAUAAUUCCAGCCAGGAAAGCACUUUGCAUGGGACGUUUGCUUGCGGGUGCGUUCUUGAAUGCAAAUCAAUUUUCAUAUCAUAGCGGCUGCUCGAGGACGGGGCAGCACCACCAAGAUUGCAUCAUAUUUACAAAAACAUUCAACAUUCUUUCAAGGCUAGAGACCACCAUAAAUGUUAUACUGCUUCAUAUUCGAGGAGAAGCCAGGCGUCUAUACCCAUUUUUGUACAGACUCACCAUGGGAAGGAUAUCAUCAGUCAUGAUUUUGUUAGAUGCUGCUUUUUCAUUUUCUUUUUAACCCCCUCCUUUUCUUCUAAGAAGGUGUCAUCCAGCAUCAAUUUUUUUGUGCUUCA
This is an RNA transcript of Musa acuminata subsp. malaccensis (wild Malaysian banana), 2355 nucleotides long. It is a transcript of the gene named probable beta-1,4-xylosyltransferase IRX9H, with no coding region annotated. NCBI's taxonomy places the organism in Eukaryota, Viridiplantae, Streptophyta, Magnoliopsida, Zingiberales, Musaceae. The record is from RefSeq and is a predicted model, not a curated record.